RNAcentral lists this ribosomal RNA (397 nucleotides) under uncultured bacterium. RNAcentral's name for it is "partial 16S ribosomal RNA". It matches the Rfam family "Bacterial small subunit ribosomal RNA", at positions 523 to 918 of the family's 1533-position model. The record is from RNAcentral.
CUACGUAGGGGGCGAGCGUUGUCCGGAAUGAUUGGGCGUAAAGGGCGCGUAGGCGGCCCGGUAAGUCUGGAGUGAAAGUCCUGUUUUUAAGAUGGGAAUUGCUUUGGAUACUGUCGGGCUUGAGUGCAGGAGAGGUAAGUGGAAUUCCCAGUGUAGCGGUGAAAUGCGUAGAGAUUGGGAGGAACACCAGUGGCGAAGGCGACUUACUGGACUGUAACUGGCGCUGAGGCGCGAAAGUGUGGGGAGCAAACAGGAUUAGAUACCCUGGUAGUCCACACUGUAAACGAUGAAUGCUAGGUGUAGGGGGUAUCGACCCCUUCUGUGCCGCAGUCAACACAAUAAGCAUUCCGCCUGGGGAGUACGGCCGCAAGGUUGAAACUCAAAUGAAUUGACGGGG